AUUGAACGCUGGCGGCAGGCCUAACACAUGCAAGUCGAGCGGAGCGGCGGACGGGUGAGAAAUGCCUAGGAAUCUACCUGGUAGAGGGGGAUAACGUCCGGAAACAGGCGCUCCUACCGCAUACUAUCAGAUGAGCCUAGGUCGGAUUAGCUAGUUGGUGGGAUAACGGUCUACCAAGGCGACGAUCCGUAACUGGUCUGAGAGGAUGAUCAGUCAGACUGGAAGUGAGACACGGUCCAGACGCCUACGGUAGGAAGCAGUGGGGAAGAUUGGACAAUGGGCGAAAGCCUGAGCCAGCCAUGCCGCUUGUGUGAAGAAGGUCUUCGGAUUGUAAAGCACUUUAAGUUGGGAGGCGUUACCAACAGAAUAAGCACCGGCUAACUUCGUGCCAGCCGCCGCGGUAAUAC
This 407-nucleotide ribosomal RNA is filed under the name uncultured bacterium. Its description in RNAcentral is "partial 16S ribosomal RNA". It matches the Rfam family "Bacterial small subunit ribosomal RNA", at positions 30 to 526 of the family's 1533-position model. The record is from RNAcentral.